This is a non-coding RNA of Podarcis lilfordi (Lilford's wall lizard), 75 nucleotides long. NCBI's taxonomy places the organism in Eukaryota, Metazoa, Chordata, Lepidosauria, Squamata, Lacertidae. The record is from the annotation of a GenBank genome assembly.
GUGGACUGUAGCUCAGUGGGAGAACAGUUGCUUUGCAUGCAGAAGGUCCUGGUUCAAUCCCCAAUGGCAUCUGCA